UGGAAGCUCAAAAUUUUAUAGAGGGAGUAAUUUCAGAUUCGCGCCUCUGUUUCACACAUUUACCCUCUCUGUGUAUACACCACAACCACAGAACCUCUCUCUCAGCAAACCUCACCACCGCAAAUCAACAAACCUCACGGCGAUCAAACCUCACGACCGCGCAUCCUCACACCGUCGGUCCCCGUAUGUUGCAAAUUAGCACCGCCACUGCCGCUAACAGUUCCAAUUCAAUAAUUAAGAAGAAGAAUUGGAACUUGUGGAUUGGUGCUAGAAAGAAUGUGGUGAGGAGAGAAAAUAUAGAGGCCGCCGUAAGGAGGGUGAUGGACGGCGAUGAUGGUGACAGAGAAGGCUAAAGUGCUGGAAGAGAUGGCAUUGAAAGCUGUUAAAGAAGGUGGAUCAUCUCAUAGAAAUUUGACGGUGUUGAUUGAAGAGUUUGAGCAACUAAAAGAUCAAAGGGCUAAUGACGUUUGAGGGUUAUUCCAUUGUCUAUGUUUCUGUUCUUCACUGCUUAUUACAUUUUAUUGAAAUAAGGCAUUCGAAUGGCUUUUAAUAGUUAAAUUUUGUAUAUGGUUGGAAAUUGAAUGCUACAGGUUGUAGAGAAAUAUUUUUAUUGAAUGGUUGAGAAUUGAAUGAAUGAAUGAAUGGAUGAAUAAUUUUGUA
Molecule: long non-coding RNA, 660 nt
Organism: Camellia sinensis
Lineage: Eukaryota; Viridiplantae; Streptophyta; Magnoliopsida; Ericales; Theaceae
Source: RefSeq, a predicted model, not a curated record